UACGUAGGGUGCAAGCGUUGUCCGGAAUUAUUGGGCGUAAAGAGCUCGUAGGCGGUUCGUGGCGUCGGCUGUGAAAACCUGAGGCUCAACCUCAGGCCUGCAGUCGAUACGGGCGGACUUGAGUACUGCAGGGGAGACUGGAAUUCCUGGUGUAGCGGUGAAAUGCGCAGAUAUCAGGAGGAACACCGGUGGCGAAGGCGGGUCUCUGGGCAGUAACUGACGCUGAGGAGCGAAAGCGUGGGGAGCGAACAGG
Molecule: ribosomal RNA, 253 nt
Filed under: uncultured bacterium
Lineage: Bacteria
Description: partial 16S ribosomal RNA
Rfam family: Bacterial small subunit ribosomal RNA
Source: RNAcentral